This 253-nucleotide ribosomal RNA is filed under the name uncultured bacterium. RNAcentral's name for it is "partial 16S ribosomal RNA". It matches the Rfam family "Bacterial small subunit ribosomal RNA", at positions 524 to 776 of the family's 1533-position model. The record is from RNAcentral.
UACGAAGGGGGCUAGCGUUGCUCGGAUUCAUUGGGCGUAAAGGGUGCGUAGGUGGCGCCGUAAGUCAGGUGUGAAAUCUCGGGGCUUAACUCCGAAACUGCAUUUGAUACUGCGGUGCUUGAGGACUGGAGAGGAGACUGGAAUUUACGGUGUAGCAGUGAAAUGCGUAGAGAUCGUAAGGAAGACCAGUGGCGAAGGCGGGUCUCUGGACAGUUCCUGACACUGAGGCACGAAGGCCAGGGGAGCAAACGGG